RNAcentral lists this long non-coding RNA (833 nucleotides) under Suricata suricatta (meerkat). RNAcentral's name for it is "lncRNA (ENSSSUG00005001424.1)". The record is from RNAcentral. Lineage: Eukaryota; Metazoa; Chordata; Mammalia; Carnivora; Herpestidae.
ACAGCCUCUAGGCAGAACACAGAGCACCUCAGCAUCUUAUCUGCCAUGAGCCAACUGAUCUUAUCUGCCAUGAGCCAACUCAUCCGUAUUAAGCUCCUUACCAUCAGAUUAAUAAAGGAGCUUUCUCAGCCCAGUGAAGGUAGUUGAGAAGGAAAGGCAGAGUCCCUGUUGCCUGCACAGACCCCAUUCUCCGCUGUCUUCUCUGUGUCAGACUUGGUAAAAUGUCUUUCUUGUUGAUAUGGAUCAAAGCUAUUUUUAUCACUGUCUUGGCAUUUCCUCAUUAUUCUGCUCUGAAUCAAGACUUUGUGGAAGGAGAGAACUCAUUGAUUCCUCUGCUGACAACUUAUGUUCCUUAAAGCCCAAUAUGGCCCAUAAACUUUGGAACAAAGUAUCCAUGAGGUAUUGGGUAGAUCUCUGAUAUUAGACCAGAGUACUAAUUAAUUAAAUAAUGAUUAACUUUCAAGUUAAGUGAUUUUAUACAAGGCAUAUAAAUGGCAACAAGCAAGCCAUUGUCUUCUCUAACGAGGAUGUCUCAUUUAUAAAAACGGGAAAAAACCCCCACAACUAUAGUAUCUUCACAGGUGGGUUUGGGUGAUUAUUAAAUAAUACAUAAGAUUAUUUUCACAGAGUGUGCUUAAUUUAGGAUUAUGUUUCUAUAUUUGAAUUUAUUUUGUGAAUUUACUGUUUUGAUACUUCUCUAAAGGGCUCAUUUCAUUAUUUGCAGGGUCCUGAUUAGGCAAUUUGCAUAAUAUUUUGCUACUAAAAUAUGUGGGUACUUCUCACCAAAGACUCUAAUGGUUUUCCUCUCUUCCUCUUCUUAUUUUUAAUUUGUG